RNAcentral lists this unclassified non-coding RNA (193 nucleotides) under uncultured fungus. RNAcentral's name for it is "sequence contains ITS1". The record is from RNAcentral. Lineage: Eukaryota; Fungi.
UUAACUAUUAGAUAGUACUCAGACGACACUAACAUUCAGAGUUUUAGAUCCUCUGGCACGCGCGAGCCAGCCGGAGCCGGUGCCCGAAGGCGGCGUGCCAAAGCAACAAGUAUAUAAUACGCAAAGGGUGAGGUUUGCUACCCAGAGGGCAGCGAACACUGUAAUGAUCCUUCCGCAGGUUCACCUACGGAAA